RNAcentral lists this ribosomal RNA (290 nucleotides) under uncultured bacterium. RNAcentral's name for it is "partial 16S ribosomal RNA". It matches the Rfam family "Bacterial small subunit ribosomal RNA", at positions 29 to 334 of the family's 1533-position model. The record is from RNAcentral.
AACGAACGCUGGCGGCAGGCUUAACACAUGCAAGUCGGACGAGAAAGUUUCUUCGGAAGCGAGUAGAGUGGCAGACGGGUGCGUAACACGUGGGAAUCUACCUUUUAGUAUGGAACAACAGUUGGAAACGACUGCUAAUACCGUAUAUUACCUUAGGGUGAAAGCUUUAUGCGCUAAAAGAUGAGCCCGCGCUCGAUUAGCUAGUUGGUAGGGUAAGAGCCUACCAAGGCUACGAUCGAUAGCUGGUCUGAGAGGAUGAUCAGCCACACUGGGACUGAGACACGGCCCAG